AGUGAACGCUGGCGGUAGGCCUAACACAUGCGAGUCGAACGGCAGCACAGUAAGAGCUUGCUCUUACGGGUGGCGAGUGGCGGACGGGUGAGGAAUACAUCGGAAUCUACUUUUUCGUGGGGGAUAACGUAGGGAAACUUACGCUAAUACCGCAUACGACCUACGGGUGAAAGCAGGGGAUCUUCGGACCUUGCGCGAUUGAAUGAGCCGAUGUCGGAUUAGCUAGUUGGCGGGGUAAAGGCCCACCAAGGCGACGAUCCGUAGCUGGUCUGAGAGGAUGAUCAGCCACAAUGGAACUGAGACACGGUCCAGACUCCUAAGGGAGGCAGCAGUGGGGAAUAUUGGACAAUGGGCGGAAGCCUGAUCCAGCCAUACCGCGUGGGUGAAGAAGGCCUUCGGGGUGUAAAGCCCUUUUGGUGGGGAAGAAAAGCAGCAGGUUAAUACCCCGCUGUUCUGACGGUACCCAAAGAAUAAGCACCGGCUAACUUCGUG
This 492-nucleotide ribosomal RNA is filed under the name uncultured bacterium. RNAcentral's name for it is "partial 16S ribosomal RNA". It matches the Rfam family "Bacterial small subunit ribosomal RNA", at positions 29 to 507 of the family's 1533-position model. The record is from RNAcentral.